Molecule: ribosomal RNA, 518 nt
Filed under: uncultured bacterium
Lineage: Bacteria
Description: bacterial SSU rRNA
Rfam family: Bacterial small subunit ribosomal RNA
Source: RNAcentral
GAGUUUGAUCUUGGCUCAGAUUGAACGCUGGCGGCAGGCCUAACACAUGCAAGUCGGGCGGUAGAGAGAAGCUUGCUUCUCUUGAGAGCGGCGGACGGGUGAGUAAUGCCUAGGAAUCUGCCUGGUAGUGGGGGAUAACGCUCGGAAACGGACGCUAAUACCGCAUACGUCCUACGGGAGAAAGCAGGGGACCUUCGGGCCUUGCGCUAUCAGAUGAGCCUAGGUCGGAUUAGCUAGUUGGUGAGGUAAUGGCUCACCAAGGCGACGAUCCGUAACUGGUCUGAGAGGAUGAUCAGUCACACUGGAACUGAGACACGGUCCAGACUCCUACGGGAGGCAGCAGUGGGGAAUAUUGGACAAUGGGCGAAAGCCUGAUCCAGCCAUGCCGCGUGUGUGAAGAAGGUCUUCGGAUUGUAAAGCACUUUAAGUUGGGAGGAAGGGCAGUAAAUUAAUACUUUGCUGUUUUUGACGUUACCGACAGAAUAAGCACCGGCUAACUCUGUGCCAGCCGCCGACGG